This 405-nucleotide ribosomal RNA is filed under the name bacterium. RNAcentral's name for it is "bacterial SSU rRNA". It matches the Rfam family "Bacterial small subunit ribosomal RNA", at positions 354 to 776 of the family's 1533-position model. The record is from RNAcentral. RNAcentral also lists the same sequence under 1 other name.
GUGGGGAAUAUUGCACAAUGGGGGAAACCCUGAUGCAGCGACGCCGCGUGAAGGAAGAAGUAUCUCGGUAUGUAAACUUCUAUCAGCAGGGAAGAAAAUGACGGUACCUGACUAAGAAGCCCCGGCUAACUACGUGCCAGCAGCCGCGGUAAUACGUAGGGGGCAAGCGUUAUCCGGAUUUACUGGGUGUAAAGGGAGCGUAGACGGAGCAGCAAGUCUGAUGUGAAAGGCGGGGGCUCAACCCCCGGACUGCAUUGGAAACUGUUGAUCUUGAGUACCGGAGAGGUAAGCGGAAUUCCUAGUGUAGCGGUGAAAUGCGUAGAUAUUAGGAGGAACACCAGUGGCGAAGGCGGCUUACUGGACGGUAACUGACGUUGAGGCUCGAAAGCGUGGGGAGCAAACAGG